GGGAAGGGAACCGCUUAUAAAAAAAAAAAAAAAAAGCCUUUGGGAGUUUGUAGCCCCGGCUUUUGUGAAUUGUCCCUCCCACUACCCCAUCCCCGGGAGCCCCCUUCAGAGUGAGUUAAACACCCCUCCCCCUCUGUGUAAUGAACGCCCUUUGCCACCCUGUGAGCGGAGGAGGCUGAUCUUGCUUCUGGCAACCCGCCUGCUCAGCGCUAGAAUUGGGCCUGUCCUUCACUGGCGGGUGCACAAAGGCCCGUGCCAGGCAGGAACCUCAGCCCCUGCUUUUCCAGUUCAUGAAAACUGAAAACUCCCGGAUGCUGCGGACUCUCCUUGUCAGGUCUGCACAAGUGGUGCCUUGAUAAGUGCUUGCUGAGUAUCUGAGGUGAAGACCCUAGAGAGGAAAUUGUUAUUGAAGACUGUUAUUCUCCGAUUCAAGUGUCUAUUUCCGGUGGCCACUGGUUUAGAAAUCCACCCUCCCCUGCCUGCUGCCGCUGGCCUUUUCCUUCAUAGAAAACGGCUCUGUGCUGCUGUGGGUUGAGGACAAAGGAAACUGCAGCCUUUGGGAAGGAAGCCUCGGGCUCCUAAGUGUGCAGAGGACACUCUAUGCCUCCUUGGAGCCUCUGGAGAUGGUCUGGGGAUGCGAAUUAUCUGGCUUGCAAGCUGGGAGUCCAAGGGAGACAGAUGAGGAUGCAGUGAAGUGGAAGUUGAAAGCCUUGGAUUUGGUCUCAGCCCUGACACUGCAGAGGCCAUUGUGUCCCUUGCCUGGGCCCUGGAUUGCUCAGCUGCAAAACAACAGACUGAGAGAUGAAAACAAAUGUCUGCAGAGGAACAGGAAGGGUGGAAAGUCCCCGAGGCUGGUCCAGGAGAGAAACACACACAAACACAGGAAUAACUGUCGUAUUCCCAAGCAGGCCAGAGCAAGAAUGGCUUUGUGGAGGGUGGCUGAGGCCAGCUGUGCUGCUGGUGGAUCAACGUCAUGGUGCUGAAGCUUAGAAAGCAGAAUCCAUGGCGUUCCCACUCCAAGCCCCUCACUCUGCAGAUGAGGAAACUGAGCCUCCCCAAAGCCCACACCAAGUUCAACUAUUAAUGUGCAAGAGACCAUUCUCUGUGUACCAGUGUCUGUCUGGGUCCCAGUGCAGAGCACAGUUCACCCCCUCUAACACUGGCUGUUAUUGACCAGACGGACUCAAAGUCCAAUGUCAUGGUGGGGAGUUAAGUGGUCACAUGUGCCUGGAGAGAACCGUGGUCUAGAUUCUCUUUUCUGGACUGUGGUUCGGGCUCUAACCUAGAGAGCAGACAUGAUGGUCUGGACUUCUUCCAAUCUAGUGACCACCAAGUAGGGGGGAAGACCACUGUGGGGGGUCCAGUUCCUUGAGGUAGAGAGAGUCCCGCUAACCUCAGAGUCUUGAGGUGGUUGGCUUUGGCAGAAGCACGGUGUUCAUCCAGCCCUUGACCAAGCGUUACUGAACCUUAAUCUCGGCCUAGAGGGGACUUGGGAGUCUGUGUACCCUAAGGUGAGAAAGCAUCUAUGGGUGAGCCAAUGACAGCUGGGUAGGGGGAGAGGGCCUGUCCCAAAGCCCAUGUCCAGAGAUGAGAGCCUAGCUUGUGGGACUCCGUCUCAGGCAGGUGGGAUACCCACAAGGCCUUGUUGGUACCAGGUGCUUAGUAGUUCACUUUGAUUCCUCUGAGGAUAGAGACACAAACCAGGAGAUAGUGCUUCAUGAAGUGGCCAGCAGUGGGUGACCUGACGCUUGGUCUAAGUGAUGCUUGCUCUUCUAUUGGGCUUAUUUAGGAGAGAAACUGCAAAGAGAGCUAAUGAGAAAAAACAAACAAACAAACAAACCAACAACAACAAAAGAAAAAAACCCACAGAGGACCGAGAGAGCCUCCAUUUGGUAGAAAAGUAAACCAAGAGGAGUCCAGAGAAAGGAAAGGGA
Molecule: long non-coding RNA, 1934 nt
Filed under: Cricetulus griseus (Chinese hamster)
Lineage: Eukaryota; Metazoa; Chordata; Mammalia; Rodentia; Cricetidae
Description: lncRNA (ENSCGRG00015042798.1)
Source: RNAcentral